AACGAACGCUGGCGGCAUGCCUAACACAUGCAAGUCGAACGAGACCUUCGGGUCUAUUGGCGCACGUGUGCGUACCGCGUGGGGACCUGCCCGUAGGUUCGGUAUAACUCCCCUAAGGGGGUGCUAAUACCGGAUAGUGUCUUCGGGCCAAAGAUGUAUCGCCUUUGGGUGGGCGCUCGUUGGUUUAGCUAGUUGGUAGGGUAAAAGCAUACCAAGGCGACGAUCCCUGGCUGGUCGGAGAGGAUGACCAGCUACACUGGGGCUGAGACACGGCCCAGACUGCUACGGAGAGCAGCAGUAGGGAGUAUUAGAGGCGGGACGAUGGUGUGACACAGCAAUGCGGCGGAAGUGAUGAAGCGCGUAGUGUUGCAAAGCUGUUUUACACGAGACGAUAGUGACAGUACCGGGUAAAUAAGCUCCGGCUAACUCCGUG
This 433-nucleotide ribosomal RNA is filed under the name uncultured bacterium. RNAcentral describes it as "partial 16S ribosomal RNA". It matches the Rfam family "Bacterial small subunit ribosomal RNA", at positions 29 to 507 of the family's 1533-position model. The record is from RNAcentral.